CCUACGGGGGGCUGCAGUGGGGAAUCUUAGACAAUGGGGGAAACCCUGAUCUAGCCAUGCCGCGUGAUCGAUGAAGGCCUUAGGGUUGUAAAGAUCUUUCAGAUGGGAAGAUAAUGACGGUACCAUCAGAAGAAGCCCCGGCUAACUCCGUGCCAGCAGCCGCGGUAAUACGGAGGGGGCUAGCGUUAUUCGGAAUUACUGGGCGUAAAGCGCACGUAGGCGGAUUGGAAAGUUGGAGGUGAAAUCCCAGGGCUCAACCUUGGAACUGCCUUCAAAACUCCCAGUCUUGAGUUCGAGAGAGGUGAGUGGAAUUCCGAGUGUAGAGGUGAAAUUCGUAGAUAUUCGGAGGAACACCAGUGGCGAAGGCGGCUCACUGGCUCGAUACUGACGCUGAGGUGCGAAAGCGUGGGGAGCAAACAGGAUUAGAUACCCGAGUAGUC
RNAcentral lists this ribosomal RNA (440 nucleotides) under uncultured bacterium. RNAcentral's name for it is "bacterial SSU rRNA". It matches the Rfam family "Bacterial small subunit ribosomal RNA", at positions 338 to 795 of the family's 1533-position model. The record is from RNAcentral.